RNAcentral lists this long non-coding RNA (311 nucleotides) under Salmo salar (Atlantic salmon). RNAcentral describes it as "lncRNA (ENSSSAG00000116061.1)". Lineage: Eukaryota; Metazoa; Chordata; Actinopteri; Salmoniformes; Salmonidae. The record is from RNAcentral.
UUGUAAUGGUGAGGUUAGCACGUCUUGGGGGUAUGAUAUUUGUAAUGGUGAGGUUAGCACGUCAUGGGGGUAUGAUAUUUGUAAUGGUGAGGUUAGCAUGUCUUGGGGGUAUGAUAUUUGUAAUGGUAAGGUUAGCACGUCAUGGAGGGUAUGAUAUUUGUAAUGGUGAGGUUAGCACGUCAUGGGGUAUGAUAUUUAUAAUGGUGAGGUUAGCACGUCUUGGGGGUAUGAUAUUUGUAAUGGUGAGGUUAGCAUGUCUUGGGGGUAUGAUAUUUGUAAUGGUGAGGUUAGCAUGUCUUGGGGGGUAUGAU